AUACAGGGUGACAGCCCCGUACACAAAAAUGCACAUAUUGUGAGCUCGAUGAGUAGGGCGGGACACGUGGUAUCCUGUCUGAAUAUGGGGGGACCAUCCUCCAAGGCUAAAUACUCCUGACUGACCGAUAGUGAACCAGUACCGUGAGGGAAAGGCGAAAAGAACCCCGGCGAGGGGAGUGAAAAAGAACCUGAAACCGUGUACGUACAAGCAGUGGGAGCCUCUUUUAUGGGGUGACUGCGUACCUUUUGUAUAAUGGGUCAGCGACUUAUAUUCUGUAGCAAGGUUAACCGAAUAGGGGAGCCGAAGGGAAACCGAGUCUUAACUGGGCGUUAAGUUGCAGGGUAUAGACCCGAAACCCGGUGAUCUAGCCAUGGGCAGGUUGAAGGUUGGGUAACACUAACUGGAGGACCGAACCGACUAAUGUUGAAAAAUUAGCGGAUGACUUGUGGCUGGGGGUGAAAGGCCAAUCAAACCGGGAGAUAGCUGGUUCUCCCCGAAAGCUAUUUAGGUAGCGCCUCGUGAAUUCAUCUCCGGGGGUAGAGCACUGUUUCGGCAAGGGGGUCAUCCCGACUUACCAACCCGAUGCAAACUGCGAAUACCGGAGAAUGUUAUCACGGGAGACACACGGCGGGUGCUAACGUCCGUCGUGAAGAGGGAAACAACCCAGACCGCCAGCUAAGGUCCCAAAGUCAUGGUUAAGUGGGAAACGAUGUGGGAAGGCCCAGACAGCCAGGAUGUUGGCUUAGAAGCAGCCAUCAUUUAAAGAAAGCGUAAUAGCUCACUGGUCGAGUCGGCCUGCGCGGAAGAUGUAACGGGGCUAAACCAUGCACCGAAGCUGCGGCAGCGACACUAUGUGUUGUUGGGUAGGGGAGCGUUCUGUAAGCCUGUGAAGGUGUACUGUGAGGUAUGCUGGAGGUAUCAGAAGUGCGAAUGCUGACAUAAGUAACGAUAAAGCGGGUGAAAAGCCCGCUCGCCGGAAGACCAAGGGUUCCUGUCCAACGUUAAUCGGGGCAGGGUGAGUCGACCCCUAAGGCGAGGCCGAAAGGCGUAGUCGAUGGGAAACAGGUUAAUAUUCCUGUACUUGGUGUUACUGCGAAGGGGGGACGGAGAAGGCUAUGUUGGCCGGGCGACGGUUGUCCCGGUUUAAGCGUGUAGGCUGGUUUUCCAGGCAAAUCCGGAAAAUCAAGGCUGAGGCGUGAUGACGAGGCACUACGGUGCUGAAGCAACAAAUGCCCUGCUUCCAGGAAAAGCCUCUAAGCAUCAGGUAACAUCAAAUCGUACCCCAAACCGACACAGGUGGUCAGGUAGAGAAUACCAAGGCGCUUGAGAGAACUCGGGUGAAGGAACUAGGCAAAAUGGUGCCGUAACUUCGGGAGAAGGCACGCUGAUAUGUAGGUGAAGUCCCUCGCGGAUGGAGCUGAAAUCAGUCGAAGAUACCAGCUGGCUGCAACUGUUUAUUAAAAACACAGCACUGUGCAAACACGAAAGUGGACGUAUACGGUGUGACGCCUGCCCGGUGCCGGAAGGUUAAUUGAUGGGGUCAGCGCAAGCGAAGCUCUUGAUCGAAGCCCCGGUAAACGGCGGCCGUAACUAUAACGGUCCUAAGGUAGCGAAAUUCCUUGUCGGGUAAGUUCCGACCUGCACGAAUGGCGUAAUGAUGGCCAGGCUGUCUCCACCCGAGACUCAGUGAAAUUGAACUCGCUGUGAAGAUGCAGUGUACCCGCGGCAAGACGGAAAGACCCCGUGAACCUUUACUAUAGCUUGACACUGAACAUUGAGCCUUGAUGUGUAGGAUAGGUGGGAGGCUUUGAAGUGUGGACGCCAGUCUGCAUGGAGCCGACCUUGAAAUACCACCCUUUAAUGUUU
This 1869-nucleotide ribosomal RNA is filed under the name Escherichia coli. Its description in RNAcentral is "partial 23S ribosomal RNA". It matches the Rfam family "Bacterial large subunit ribosomal RNA", at positions 357 to 2215 of the family's 2925-position model. The record is from RNAcentral. Lineage: Bacteria; Pseudomonadati; Pseudomonadota; Gammaproteobacteria; Enterobacterales; Enterobacteriaceae.